CUCAAUUUUGAUUUAAUCUUCUUCUACUUCUUUUCAAAACUUUGUCGGUAUUACGCUGAAAAUAAUUGUUGUUGUUAUUAUUCAUUUUAACUUUCUCUUCUAUAUCCUUGUUCAUCCCAUAUUCUAAAGAAAAGUGAAUUAGUGAAGGUCUUAUUUUGGGCAAAAUAGUUUCUAGGUGUUGUGCAAUUUCUCGAAUUUCAGACUACUUUGCGAAUUUCUGGUUACUAUUCGAUAAAGAAUAUCUGGUAUUGUGCAAGACUGAAUUUUAGGGAAACAAAUGCUGCUAAAUUUCAUGUCACUCUCUUCAAAUAUCCGCUGCUCAUCAGGUAUCUAUUUUAGGCCUUGUUCUCUGGUGAUACGUUUAUUGCUCAACUUCAGAGGUCUCCUUCGCUUCUUACAAGUAUCAUCUCUCUAUUUUGGAGUAUUUCUCAACUCUCUUAUGUACUUUUUUCUGUUCUUCAGGACGCUUAGUUGAUUUUAUGGUAAAUAUUUUAGUGAUUCUCACCUUAAGAAUGAAAGUGGACGACGAGCAAUUAAUGGAAGUGGUAUAGGUGAGCAUUAUAAUGUCUGUAAUCUGUGCAAAGAUAUGAAUAUUUGUUGGCAUGCGUUCUUCUAUCUUUUAGUAUUAUAUGAAUGCACAUAUGGUUGUGACUGUUUUAAACUAUUCUUUGUAUUUAAAGGAGUUACAUUUCCCAUGCACUUGGUGUAUCAUUAUGCUACAAUCAAAACAAGUGAUGUCCGGAAUCUUAGUGACAUCACGGAUGUUGCUAUAUUUAUUCCUGUAGAACCAUGCUGGGAUAAGAGUUGUUAAGGUAAAUUUUGAAGCUUUGUUAAAUAAAAUUGGAAAUCUUUGUUUACUUUUUUAAGUUUCAAGAAGAAAUACGUACUAUCUUUUCUGUUAUAUUAGGAAAUAGUUUAUGAUCCCAAAUGGAUAGCUGCACAUAUUCAUUCUAUCCAUUUUAACUAUUUUCUUGGUCUAUUUUAACUAUCAAUCUUCAAUCAACACAUAAAGAGAGACUGGGCAUGCGAAGAAUUACAAGAACUGUGUAAUGUGUUUGUACAAUAUUAAGAUGCUAGCUCAGUACGAUGAUUCGAUAUUUGUUGUUUUUGUACUGAUAUAUUUAUGUUAUUUUAGUCACCAUGUGUCAUUCUACAAGCAAGACAUCAUGUAGUGUCUUUGUUUCAGGUCUUUAACCAUAUUUGGAGGGUAAUUUAUUCCGGUUACCGCAUGUGAAAGUAAAUAUUGCUUUAAUUAUGACUUCAUGCUGAUGCAAUGUAUAGUACUUCACAGUCCCGACCCUAUAAUAGUUUUUUUCAUAGAUUUAUUUGUAAAUUGCUAUUUUAUUAAAUUUUACUGUAACAGAAAAAUUAGCAUUCUUUCCGAUUUCUAAAAUACUUAUUGUUGGCAGAUUUUAACUUUCACUCAAUGCCUAUAAAACCCUCGCCAUUUCAAAAUGAAAUAACUAAAUUUUGGAUAUGAUGCUACAAAUUAAGCAAAUAAACUAAGAAAUUCUGUAAAAAAAAAAUUACGUUUGUAUGUACCCAACAAUAUUUAAUAUUUAGAUACAAAGACCAAAUUUGCAUAUAAAGAAAAGAGUAGUACAUCCUGAAUCUUUGUAUUUGAGUGUGAAACAACUUUUGUCAUGAAACUUGAGGUUACCAAACCAUGAUUUGAUAGGAAUUCAGUUUAUAUUUCCCAAUUUAUAAUGAUAAGAAGUCUUUUGGAAUUCUUAAUACCUGAAAGAAAAAAAAACUUUAUGCUUGAUUUCAAGAGUUUGCGUCCUCUCUCAUUUGAGGUAAAAUGUGGAUAGCAGCAAUCUAGGGAAAGCACUUUUAAUAAUAUUUGUGACACUUUACUUGGCUGAUUUACAAGUCUGUCUAAGGAGUAUUUCUCCUUGGCUAUUGUUUUAAUCAUGUCUAUUAUUUUAAGCUCUUAGAUACAAGGCAUUUUUCCUUGGUUGUACAAUAUUUUCCAAGUGUCUUUAAAUGAGUUCCAUCGAUAACUUUCUAUCCCCAGAGGUGUCGAAGAACAUAACAGUCAUAGUUAUCUUCCUUAAAACUCUUUCUAUCGUAUUUUUUCCCCCUUUUUAUAUCUUUUUCUCUUCUAGGAAAAGCAUUAAAAACACACACUACGAAUUUUCAGUAUGGCAUUGUCAAAAAAAUCCGUUUAGGGGAUGAUUACUCAUUAAAAAAUAGGAUAAAGUGCAUUUUUCUUAUUUUUUCUUGAAGAAGCUUAUCGUUGUCUAUUCUGUUUUUCUACCAUUCUUUGUUAUUUUGGUGCCUUUACAGAAAUGGUUUUAUUUCUGGAUCAGUUAUGCUAUGUGUGGUUUUCUUUUUAGCUCAACUGGAGAUUCGCUUCAUACUUCAUGAACACAAAUACGAUGUUGCUUGCAUUGUUGUUUAAUUUAUAAAUGAACUUAUGACUUCUUAAAAGAAAUUUAGUUGCCUAACUUGGUAAACAUUGCAAGUACAAGAAACUUUUGUCAAAUGCGGACUUGACAAAUAUAGGCAAAAUUUGCAGAAGACUGUAUUCCUAAUAUCUUCGAUCCUUCCUUUCAAUCAAACGAAGGAAAAAUUCUCUUUUAACUACCAUUUUCAAUUUUAUGCAAGCUGUAUUUGCAUCUCAUCCUUCUUGAAGUGUAGGGUUGAAAGCGGUUACAUAUUUUUUUGCAUUCAUUCUGAAUUUUGAUAAGUGCUUCUAUAUAUUUGGCAUAACCUAGAGGUUUCUGCAUCUAAUGUAAUGCUACCAAAGCUUCUUUCUUAAAACCUGGAUUUGAUUAUUUCUUGCUUUUUAACUCCUUUUUUUUAUCUGCACUUUUUUGUCCUCUGAUUGGUCAUAUCAUGUUUCUCUUGUUUUAAUCGUCCCUCAUGCUUCUGGUCCUUUUUUUUUCAUAGAAAAGUAUUUUGUAUUUAUUUAUUCAACCUUUUAUCCUUUUCUACUAAGAAUUCUCUCUUUCAGUUUUACUUUUAACUUUACAGCUUUACAUAUUUCUAUGUUAUACAGUAGUGAGAAAUCUUCUAAAUUUUUAUUAUUUCAAACAUAAAAUGUAAAAGCAUUCUUACAUGGAAUUGUUGCUGAGAUGGAUUUUUUAAUCUAUAAUUACUUAUUGAUCUUGUUACGAGAAAUGGUUAUAGAUCUAGAUGGAACCAUUGCUCAAUGCAAGAUUAAUUAGGGUAGGAGCUUGCUUUCAAGAGAAACUGCAGUAAAUGGAGAAUAGAAAGAACUUUCUCUCUUACACAAAUUCUGAAGAAAUCCGCCCAUGUACGUAGUGAUGUAACAAACCUGAUUCUGUUAAAUGGAAUAGAAGUACCUAUGGUUUUUUCUCAAUUUUUGAAGUCCGUUCUUUUCAAAAAGUACCGGCGCAUCUGGAACAAGAACUUAGAGGUGUAUUUGGAAGAGCAAAGCAGCACCAAAGUUAAUUUUCUUGGAGUGGACUACAUGUCAUAAUGACCUAACUCGAGCAAACCUUCCACAUGCUGGUGAAAUCAUAUGCUUAAGAUGUUAGGUGUGCUUAGAGGAAGCUGAAGUCCAUUUGUUCUUCCAUGUACCAUUGUUUCUUAGCUUUAUUGCAUGUUCUUGGAUUAUAGAACUAACAAUACUUGGAUGGGCAAGAAAGUAAAGAACAUCUCAGAAACGUAUGGAAUACAAUUUCGACCUGCAUUUUUUAUGUAGUUUUAUGUGCAAUAAAACUUUGUAUUUACCUACCAAAAGAAAAUCAUGAAACUCUUAAGAAUGUGUUGAACAAGUGAUUAUAUUUUUUCAGGGAAGUUGACCCAUCACAUA
Nicotiana tabacum (common tobacco) is the source of this 3784-nucleotide non-coding RNA. The record is from RefSeq and is a predicted model, not a curated record. NCBI's taxonomy places the organism in Eukaryota, Viridiplantae, Streptophyta, Magnoliopsida, Solanales, Solanaceae.